GAUGAACGCUAGCGGCAGGCCUAACACAUGCAAGUCGAGGGGCAUCGGGAUUGAAGCUUGCUUCAAUUGCCGGCGACCGGCGCACGGGUGCGUAACGCGUAUGUAACCUACCUAUAACAGGGGCAUAACACUGAGAAAUUGGUACUAAUUCCCCAUAAUAUUCGGAGAGGCAUCUCUCCGGGUUGAAAACUCCGGUGGUAUGAGAUCGGACCCGCGUCUGAUUAGCUAGUUGGUGAGGUAACGGCUCACCAAGGCGACGAUCAGUAGCCGACCUGAGAGGGUGAUCGGCCACAUUGGGACUGAGACACGGCCCAA
Molecule: ribosomal RNA, 315 nt
Filed under: uncultured bacterium
Lineage: Bacteria
Description: bacterial SSU rRNA
Rfam family: Bacterial small subunit ribosomal RNA
Source: RNAcentral